GGAUCCAGACUUUGAUUAUGGCUCAGGAUGAACGCUAGCUACAGGCUUAACACAUGCAAGUCGAGGGGAAACGACAUCGAAAGCUUGCUUUUGAUGGGCGUCGACCGGCGCACGGGUGAGUAACGCGUAUCCAACCUGCCCACCACUUGGGGAUAACCUUGCGAAAGUAAGACUAAUACCCAAUGACGUCUCUAGAAGACAUCUGAAAGAGAUUAAAGAUUUAUCGGUGAUGGAUGGGGAUGCGUCUGAUUAGCUUGUUGGCGGGGUAACGGCCCACCAAGGCAACGAUCAGUAGGGGUUCUGAGAGGAAGGUCCCCCACAUUGGAACUGAGACACGGUCCAAACUCCUACGGGAGGCAGCAGUGAGGAAUAUUGGUCAAUGGCGAGAGCCUGAACCAGCCAAGUAGCGUGCAGGAUGACGGCCCUAUGGGUUGUAAACUGCUUUUAUAAGGGAAUAAAGUGAGUCUCGUGAGACUUUUUGCAUGUACCUUAUGAAUAAGGACCGGCUAAUUCCGUGCCAGCAGCCGCGGUAAUACGGAAGGUCCGGGCGUUAUCCGGAUUUAUUGGGUUUAAAGGGAGCGUAGGCCGGAGAUUAAGCGUGUUGUGAAAUGUAGACGCUCAACGUCUGCACUGCAGCGCGAACUGGUUUCCUUGAGUACGCACAAAGUGGGCGGAAUUCGUGGUGUAGCGGUGAAAUGCUUAGAUAUCACGAAGAACUCCGAUUGCGAAGGCAGCUCACUGGAGCGCAACUGACGCUGAAGCUCGAAAGUGCGGGUAUCGAACAGGAUUAGAUACCCUGGUAGUCCGCACGGUAAACGAUGGAUGCCCGCUGUUGGUCUGAAUAGGUCAGCGGCCAAGCGAAAGCAUUAAGCAUCCCACCUGGGGAGUACGCCGGCAACGGUGCAACUCAAAUGAAUUGACGG
RNAcentral lists this ribosomal RNA (923 nucleotides) under uncultured Bacteroidota bacterium. Its description in RNAcentral is "bacterial SSU rRNA". It matches the Rfam family "Bacterial small subunit ribosomal RNA", at positions 1 to 916 of the family's 1533-position model. Lineage: Bacteria; Pseudomonadati; Bacteroidota. The record is from RNAcentral.